CUGAGCUUUCUCCCAUGGAGAGAGACCUGCAGCACAGGAGCUGAAGUCCUCCCCGCGGCUCCAAUCCAAUCACCGGUCCCAGAGGCAUCCUGGAGGCCAGCUUCUUCAUCGCCUGAGAUGAGGAAACAAUUUCAGAGACGCUGAGUGAAUGGCCUGUAUUUUCAGAGCUGGAAAUUGGUGAGCUA
Long non-coding RNA from Condylura cristata (star-nosed mole), 185 nucleotides. RefSeq lists it as uncharacterized. Lineage: Eukaryota; Metazoa; Chordata; Mammalia; Eulipotyphla; Talpidae. The record is from RefSeq and is a predicted model, not a curated record. The transcript has 3 exons.